RNAcentral lists this ribosomal RNA (253 nucleotides) under uncultured bacterium. RNAcentral describes it as "partial 16S ribosomal RNA". It matches the Rfam family "Bacterial small subunit ribosomal RNA", at positions 524 to 776 of the family's 1533-position model. The record is from RNAcentral.
UACGUAGGGUGCAAGCGUUGUCCGGAUUUAUUGGGCGUAAAGGGGUCGUAGGCGGUCCGUCACGUCGGGAGUGAAAACUUGGGGCUUAACCCCAAGCCUGCUUCCGAUACGGGCGGACUAGAGUACGGAAGAGGCGAGUGGAAUUCCUGGUGUAGCGGUGAAAUGCGCAGAUAUCAGGAGGAACACCAGUGGCGAAGGCAGCGCGCUGGGACGUCACUGACGCUGAGACGCGAAAGCGUGGGGAGCAAACAGG